Molecule: ribosomal RNA, 405 nt
Filed under: uncultured bacterium
Lineage: Bacteria
Description: bacterial SSU rRNA
Rfam family: Bacterial small subunit ribosomal RNA
Source: RNAcentral
UGGGGAAUAUUGCACAAUGGGGGAAACCCUGAUGCAGCAACGCCGCGUGAGUGAAGAAGUAUUUCGGUAUGUAAAGCUCUAUCAGCAGGGAAGAAGAAAGACGGUACCUGACUAAGAAGCCCCGGCUAACUACGUGCCAGCAGCCGCGGUAAUACGUAGGGGGCAAGCGUUAUCCGGAUUUACUGGGUGUAAAGGGAGCGUAGACGGUUAUGUAAGUCUGGAGUGAAAGCCCGGGGCCCAACCCCGGGACUGCUUUGGAAACUGUGUAACUGGAGUACAGGAGGGGCAGGCGGAAUUCCUGGUGUAGCGGUGAAAUGCGUAGAUAUCAGGAGGAACACCAGUGGCGAAGGCGGCUUACUGGACUGUAACUGACGUUGAGGCUCGAAAGCGUGAGGAGCAAACAGG